UACGUAGGGUGCAAGCGUUAAUCGGAAUUACUGGGCGUAAAGCGUGCGCAGGCGGUGAUGUAAGACAGAUGUGAAAUCCCCGGGCUCAACCUGGGAACUGCAUUUGUGACUGCAUCGCUGGAGUGCGGCAGAGGGGGAUGGAAUUCCGCGUGUAGCAGUGAAAUGCGUAGAUAUGCGGAGGAACACCGAUGGCGAAGGCAAUCCCCUGGGCCAAUACUGACGCUCAUGCACGAAAGCGUGGGGAGCAAACAGG
This 253-nucleotide ribosomal RNA is filed under the name uncultured bacterium. Its description in RNAcentral is "partial 16S ribosomal RNA". It matches the Rfam family "Bacterial small subunit ribosomal RNA", at positions 524 to 776 of the family's 1533-position model. The record is from RNAcentral.